CCUACGGGAGGCAGCAGUGAGGAAUAUUGGUCAAUGGGCGCGAGCCUGAACCAGCCAAGUAGCGUGAAGGGUGACUGCCCUACGGGUUGUAAACUUCUUUUAUAAAGGAAUAAAGUGAGGCAAGUGUGCCUUUUUGUAUGUACUUUAUGAAUAAGGAUCGGCUAACUCCGUGCCAGCAGCCUCGGUAAUACGGAGGAUCCGAGCGUUAUCCGGAUUUAUUGGGUUUAAAGGGAGCGUAGAUGGGUUGUUAAGUCAGUUGAGAAAGUUUGCGGCUCAACCGUACAAUUGCAAUUGAUACUGGCAGCCUUGAGUACAGUUGAGGGAGGCGGAAUUCGUGGUGUAGCGGUGAAAUGCUUAGAUAUCACGAAGAACUCCGAUUGCGAAGGCAGCUUACUAAACUGCCACUGACGUUGAUGCUCGAAAGUGUGGGUAUCAAACAGGAUUAGAUACCCGUGUAGUC
RNAcentral lists this ribosomal RNA (460 nucleotides) under uncultured bacterium. Its description in RNAcentral is "partial 16S ribosomal RNA". It matches the Rfam family "Bacterial small subunit ribosomal RNA", at positions 338 to 795 of the family's 1533-position model. The record is from RNAcentral.